GAAGACCAGAAUACUGCUGAUAUUUCCUGCCCGUCGCACUGACACCUUUACAGCUGAAGACUGAGUGUGUUCUGGAGGUCAGAAGACACCAAAUCCCGGGCUGAGGAGAUGACAGGUGAGGUGCUUCCCUUCAUUGUUACUGAUCUAAUAGACAAUGUGGCUACAUGCCCUGCUUCCUUAAGCCUAGCAAUGGAAGUCAAUUCACAAGGACUGGUAAAGAGCAGAGAAAGUUUAUUUUUCAGAACGAUGCACAGCAAAAGGAUAAUAAUGGAAAAAUAAUUGAUCUUCAAACCACUGCCACUCACACUUUAUCCAUGGGAUAAAGUCAUAAAGACAGUGUGUUAGAUUUUUACAGUGUAAAAUCCCGCUUUGUCUUGCAUACCAGCUUUGAUAUUUGACCAGAGACACUUCUGAACAUUUUCUGAGCUGAAAGAUGUCUCUUAAAAUGGGUUCUUGCUGUUGAUGUUGAAUGAGUGCAUGUGUUUACUCAGAACUGCAUUUCAGGUACCCCAAAACCUGAAGAGAUGCAGAACUGCCAGCAGAAGUAAACUUGGUAACGUGUGCCGUAGGUAACCCUGGUGAUACUAUUUGCUAUGAUGACAAAAAGUAAAAGACUUUUUAAAAUCAGUUUUUACCUGUUGCUCUCCCUCCUAUACAGAGAAAAUGCAUGCAGCAGGCAGUACUGUUUCUAAACUGUCCAUUUCCUAAUGGAUGGUAUUCAUGACAUUUAAUUUCAGCAGGCCUUGGUAGUAAAUGUUAUAAUGAUACCCUUCAGCCCAUACCUUGCACCGCAGAUAGUUUGUCUAUUGGCAGUGAGGAUGUAAAUGAAAAGAAUAGCCCUUCCUUACGGAUACUUUGGAAGUUGGAGGAUCUCUGCAUUUCUAAGUAGAAUCUGUGUCUUUCAUUAAAACUUGUUGGAUAAAUCUGUCUCAAAAGGUGGGGCCUGUCCAAACCUAAUGGAAAAGGUAAGUACAGAUUUGUCUUUGGACUAUGACCUACCCUAUUAUCCACAUGAAGCAGCACUGUUUCCUCGCCAUAUGCCACGAACAGCUGACCCCCAGUUGUUGAAUGUUUUCCUUAUGUGACGUCCAUCUGAGUUCAGCCUCCAGCUGUCCUCUGCAUAGCAAAGUGGUGCUUUAAAGACAUUCAUUAUUGGUCACCUUGUUUUUUUUUUUUUUUUUUUUUAAAGAAAAGCUAGCAAGUAGAUUAUAACUGAUGUCUGAAGCUAAAAUAUUUAGUGGGCCCUUUGAAUCAUUUAAUCUCUAUAAAACAGUGCAGUAUCAACAGUUAUAACAAGAUAGUCACUCUGUGAUCACUAUAAGUAUCUUCCUUUAAGUUUGCACCUAACUUUGCACUAUGUAACGUGAACAAAUUGUUCUGAAAAGGAGCCAAAGAGGGAGGACAGGAAUGAAGGCUUUCCCCUGAAUGGGAAGAUAAGUGCUCACUGUUGGAGGUGGGCAAAGCAUGGUCAAAAAUGGCUGGGGGGAACGUCACAAGUGUCUUUAACAGGUCUCAAGGGAUGGAGAAAAAGAUGUAGAUAGCAGAACAACCCUAUCCCUGCACCCCAGCACAUAACAGCGUGGAAUGGUGGAAGAGUGCCCAGGCAGCCUCUGAAUGAACAGUAAUGGUGGGUCAGCCACGUGUAAACACACAAGAUACUAAAAAAGAAGAGCAAUUCCUUCUGCAGUUCAGAAUAGUUGGAUGUUUCUAUUCAGAAUUCUAGCAGAAUUCAAAAUAAAGAUGAAUCUCUCAAUCUUAAAAUUACAACAACCAUUGGCUAAGUCUGAGGGUGGUGUAAUUAAAAACCGAUCUGUGAACGAUUAGGGCACAGAAAGUGAGCACACUGACAUGUAUGUUCCUAACUGUAUUUAAAUAAAGUAUGAGAUUGUCAUUCCAGGCUGUUGUAGUCAAGCUUUGUAAAGCCCUGAUACUCUGCACAUAAAUUCAGCUCUCCAUUACCUGUGUGGAGUGUGCUGGCAGUGGCACAAUGCAGUGGGGGAAGAGGAAGAAGCUGUGAGGAGUUGAGGCAGUAGGGAUUACCUUCCUGAGUAUGAAGGGACCGAACCAUUUCAGAACUACCCUUAAAAAAAAAAACAGAAACAAAAACAAAAAAAACAGAAAACCUCCCAAAACCUUUAAAGCAAUUCUGCCUCUUCUCUGUAUGGAUUUGAGUUUAAACAAUUGUACAAACUAAUCUGUUUUUGAAAACACUAAUUCUAAUGUAAGUUCUGUUCUCUUAUUCAAGCCUUGAAUAACAACACAUCAAAGCUAUCAGAAGGAAAAAAAAAGGAGGCUGUGCUUAGCUGCCCUAUGGCCAGAAACUGCUGCUGGAAGGAAAGAUGCAGUACUUCAAAAGCAUGUGGACAAUCCCUUUGUAUAAAAUGGCCAGCACGGUAAAACACAGCAAAGUCUGGGAGUUUGAGAGCGUCACUGGAAAGUGGCAGAGCCAGAACCUGCUGAGGGCAGUUGCCCGUGACUUCAGUUUCUAAAAAAAACAGUGACUAGCAAGAACUAAAAGGAACAGAUCACGAGCACAAAAAACUGUCACCAUUUCUGAAUCCUUUAACUAAAUCCUGAAUGGUAAAUUGUGAGAGUGAAUGGUUGUACACCUCACAGAUAGUUACCUCUGAACUGGUAUUGAGUUACAGCACAGGAGCUGGCAAGCUGCACCCUGAGCGGUGUAAUGCUGCUAAUCACCGCAAGAAGGGCAAGAGGUACAGAGCAGUGCAUGUGAUUUCACUGUGUCAACAGAAUAAGAAUCAGUUACUCACACGGAACUUUGUAAUGUCUAAGUGUUCUAUGCAUCUCAGUAACUUUCUGCAAGGGAAAAUAGAAACACAAUUUCUCACCUGGAUCACAAUUCAGCAUUCCAACUUUCAGCACCAAAACAUUUAAGCUCUUUUAAAAUUGUGUAUUAAUCUGGAAAUAGUUAAAUAUGAAGGAGUAACAUUUGCUGAGCACUCAGGCUACUUGAGAGGUGUAUAUCAGGUAGACCUUCCCGAGUUACGUGCACAGUACCAUUCUGCUGUGGAAAACAAACAACUGCAUUUGAAAAAGUCCUUUGAGAAACAUCUCCUCACCCAGAAAUAGCAACAGGAACACGAAGCCACAAGGAGGUGCUGCUCAGAACACGGCAGGAAGGAACAGUGCUGGACUGGGGGUCAGAGUGCACUGCUGAUGACACUGCUGCCACCAAGGUGCUAUCUCUGUAAAUUUCAACUACAGCCUCAUUACAGAAAAUCUUAAACGUAGGAAUUCAAAAUCCUGCAGUCUGACUGUGAGUGCAAUUUUAAACUUUGUUAGGGUAAAGUUUAGAAUCAGAGCAAAAUAGAUUCCCGCAUUUACAGUCUUAUUAGGGAAGCAGAAGUUUUGCAUCCUUUGCACUAGAAACUACUACAGCCAAUUGUUACCUGGGAGAUUGUUCUGGUCCACUGUAAUUUCAGCACUUCAAGUAGAAGGUACAAUUUGGACCUUGAGCAACUCAAGUGGGCCUACCAACCAGGUCAUGUGGCAGAGGUCUAUAGCUUUAGUGUUAGGGAUUAUGCAUGUAUAUAGCAGAGGAACCACUGCAGCACAGGUGGGAAUCCCCUCCCGCUGUUGUCUGCUAAAUCAUUCCCUAUUUCAGACAUACCUGCCCAACACCUGCUUGGCCUCCUCUAAAAGGCUGGGCAUUCUGUGCAUUAGCUGUUACACUGUCACCGUGUUACACAACUGAAAACUGCACUGGAGUACUCAGUUAUAGAAGGAAGGGCCUCAGAAGGAAUCGGGGGGCGGAGAGUGGAAAGAAUUACCAAUAGCCUAAUUUUGUUUGGUUGGAAUAAAUUUAUUUCAUCUGUCUGUAAACAAGGUGUUUUUAAUAGUUAUGGCAUUUUUUGAAAUGCAUAUUAAAUCAGAUGAGUUAGACUGUAUCCCAGAUGUAACAAAGUGCAGGGAAAGAAAUGGACAAAUCAGCAACAAGAAUUCGUUUAAAUCUGUACAUUAUCCACAAGGCCCAACAACAGAAGCGAAUACUAGGAUGUCCCUAAAGUAGUGCCAUUCAAAAGAAACCCUCGUACUCAGUUAAAAUCCAUCUCACAAUAGCAACAGUUCAGUUUUUUUUUUUAAACAAUAAGUAUGGCACAGAAUACAUAUUAAAAAAAAUUCAUCACAAGACAGCCAAGUCAGUUAUUCCAACCAAUACCUUCUCCCAUUUAUUCUUUUGUAUACAGAGUUCUGCAGUUCUUUUUAAAUGGACAUACAAGUUAGUACUGUGCCUGAAGGGAUCGUUUGGUUACACACAUGUCAGAUGAUGGGCGCACAAGGCAGUUCACUCCAUGAUUUCUGCAGCAAGGGUGUGACAGGCCAAAUGAGGGCUUUAAAUUUGAAAUGGCAUCAUUUUGACAGGUUAGCUUUCAAACUACCAGCCUUCAUCCACACAGCAGCUUUGGAGCAGCGAGACUCUGUACCCAGCAAGUGAUCUGGCAGAAAGACCGGAGUUGGUCAGCGCUGCCACAAGAGCUGAAGGCGGCAGUUCUCCACCAUGACAUUGCAGUUUUGUAUAAAAACAGAACCACCAACCCACAACCCCAAGCUGCAACUUAAAAUUGGUCCUAUGAAAAACUGAAACCAGACACACUCCAGAUGGUUAUGUUGGGAUAUCUGAUGUCCAUAAUGGCAGCCUUUUAUAGUUCAACUACAGAACGGGAGCUGGCAAAAAAAAAAAAAAAAAAAAAAAAGUGCCUGAGCUAUUGCAAUGAUGGAAUGUCCCCGGGGAGUCACUCGGGAUGGUGGCUGUAAGGUCAUGGGAGGAAGUGCAUCUGUACCCUUUGAUAGUUUUGUGAUUGCACUUAACGAGCAGUACAAGCUUCAGACAUGAAAAAAAAAAAAAAAAUCAAAGACAAGCCUAUAGCAAAGUGCAACAACAAAACUAAUUUAACAUUAAUAGCUUCUGAGUGGCAAAUUGGUUAAACAAACCAGGCACUAUAAAAUAGGUGUAAGCAAACGUGGAUUAAAAAACACAACAAAAAAUCACCACGAGAAAAACAGAAGAUAUGCAUGCACUUUUUCCUCCCAAACAUGCUCUGUGAAAGGAAGACCUGUGAGCUGUGUAAUUGCUCAAAGUGCUGAAGAGGCAUUGAUCAAAUUAGAUUGUACAAUCGGCACCUUGUUUAGUAUUUACGGAGUUGUUUUAGUUCUCAGUACACACUAAUUGCUAAGACAAAGCAAAGCCUAUGCUUGGCGUAUUCCGCUCCCAAGAGUUUUUCAAGGUAUCAUGCAUAUCAUCUUUGUGGUGCAGCAGUGGUGCCAGAUAUGGGACUCGGUUACACACAGUGGUUAACAUACAAAUGAACAAAGGGUAACUGGAAUUACGACAUUAGAAAAUGGGUAAAUAAAAAACACAAACUACCAUCUACAGUCUGGUAGCACUGAGCACAAUUGGGUGGUGAUGAAGACAGUUGCUAGGUGGAUGGGGAGAGGCUGCUUAGACGUCAGACCUCCUCAGGUAUAAAGCCAGUUCAUAUGCUUUCUUGUUGAGUGUCCCUCCAUGGACACCUUCCUUUCCCAUGACUAUAACCAAUGCUGGAGUACACAAGGAAACAAAACAGAAAUGAACAGAAUUAAAGAAAAAAAAAAUAAUAACACCUUUCCCCACCAACAAAGGGAUACAAAGGAGACACAGGUUCAUACCCCAUCACCCUGCAUUGCUAAUAAAGUUUCCAGAAUGUAAGGUUUAAAGCUCACCGCCAGGAAAGUUUAAUAGCAAUCUUCCCCUAAUACUUAACAGUCUGCCUAGCAACUAGAACCCAGAGUCUCUCAAGUAUUUUGCCAUUGAGUAUGCCUUCUUAUUCAAUCCGCCUCCAUGGACCCCUUCUUUGCCCAUUACAAAGACCAAGACUCGCCCAGCUCUGCCUACGGCCACAUUGUACGUCGGCUCCCCGCCUUGGCUCUUCGUCCGGAUGUCCAUUGUGCAGUCCCCAUCCACGUAGAGGCUGUCUCUGAUCACAGAGCACUUCUUUGCACCGAGGGUCAGGCCAUUGGUGAAGAAACCCUCCCGAUCCUUCCCUACAAUCAUAUCUAUUUCUACUGGCGUGAUGCUCUGGAAGAUGCCGCCGGCCGUGGCCGCCCAGACGUAUUUGGCGUCGCAGUAGCCCACAAUGGCGGCCUCCUGGCAGCAGCCAUCGCACAUCAGGUUGUCCACGUAGCUCUGCCAGCCGGCCAUCUUCGGCGGGGCGCGGGCGGCGGCGGCGGCGGGCGGGCGGCGGCAGCGAGCGGCGCGGCGCGGGCCGGGCGGCGGCUGAGGUGAGGCGAGGCGAGGCGCGGCGCCUCUCCCUCCUCUCGAGCGGACCGAGCGCUGCAGCGAGCGGCGCGGCCCAGCCCAGCCCUGCCCUCCGCGCUGCCGGCGCCGGGGGGCGGGGGAGGAGGGGCGCGGCCCGGCACCGCCCCCUUCCCGCACCGCGCGGCCGGCGGAGGCUGUCGGCGGCGCUGCUCGGGCGCGGGGCGUUCCGCGCCUGCGGUUCCGCAGCGGCCGCCGCUCUGCGAGGCUUCCCGGGGCUGUGCGGGCGCGGUGCUGCGGAGUGCCGCCUUUUCCCGCCCUUUCUAAACCGGGAGACGUUUGAAGGUUUCGCCGACGUCUCAGAAAUCGCAUUGUUCUCCGCUGCUGGGAGCGCGAGCGCCGCUUGGGUGCAUCCCCUUUGUUUCUGCAGAAGCUCUCAGCACACAGACCCGUAGUUGCAGUUUGCAGCGCGGAGCCCCUCCCGGCAGCGCGGCCGGCCCUGUGCCGCGGCAGCCGCACGCGGAGCUCCCUUCGCUCGGCGUUACCCCGGGGCGCGGCGCUGGCUCCGCUCUGCGGGCUGCAUCUCCUUUCUGCACAUUUCACGUUCGCCGUCGCAAACUUCACCAGCUGUCAGACUCCUUCAAGAAAGCGCUGCCGGCGCUGGCUGUUGGCCGUGCUGUGCUGCUCUGUGUGUGUCCCUGAAGCAGUAAGGGGGUUUCUUUGUCAGUUUGUUGAUCUUGUUACUAGGGUGGUAUGCUCCCCAUCUCAGGUAUUAGCAUCCGUUCCAGGUGGCGGCAACAGGAUAAGAGGCGAUGACCUCAUGUUGCACCGGAGCAGGUUUAGGUUGGAGGUUAGGAAAUGUUCCUGCUCAGAUGGAGUGGUCAGGCACUGGCGUGGGCUGCCCAGAAAAGUGGUUGGGUCACCAUUCCUGGAGGUGCUCAGGAACUGUGAAGACGUGGACUGAGGGCUGUGGCGCCGUGGGCAUGGUGGGGGUAGCUUGGGGUUGGACUGAAUGGCCUUAGAGGUUUUUUCCAACCUGAACGAUUCUAUGUUUCUAAGUUAGAGUUUAUAUCUGAAUUUUCUAAGGAAUAGAAUGCAGCAAUUGGAUGUCUUUUCCUGUGGUUAUAUCCCUCAGUAAGAAUAUUCACCAAUAUACCUACAAUAUACUUGAGAAUGUUCUCGACCCUUUAAAACCUAAAUUAGUUGCUGUGGCAUUGCCUGUUGUUUAGAUACUGUAUGGUAACUGUUGAGUCCCAGCCUGAAGCACUGAUUGAGCACCUGGGGAAAGGACCCGGUCAGCCCUGGGAGCACAGGUGAAGGCAAUCCAGCGGUGUGAGCAGGAGGGGUGCAGCCUGGCUACACCUCUCUUAGACCCCAUUGAAGAGCUGACUGCCACUGAGGAAGGAUCUCUUUCUGGAGAUCCCUCCUUGGUGGAGUUUUCCCUAUGAGCCCAGAUCUCUGGAGAUGGGUGAGCAGUCCUUUUUUCCUUCUAACAUCUUUCUGUUGCAUUAGUCCCUUUGUCGUUACACUUCUUGAAUUCCCAUUCUAUUGCAUUGAUCCUUCUGGUUGUUACAGGUACUUGUAGAGCUUGCUUAGAUUGCUAGAUGCUUUAUGAAGAUGCUUCCUUCUCUUAGCUUAAUUCUGUAAGCGUUUCUUCAGUUUUGUUUUCAUAGUGCUUUUGCCAUUCUGCAUUUGAACUGCCUCAGAACUUUGCUUUCUCCUGCUAUCUGCGGAUACCAAAACUGUGCUCGUGUCACUGUGUGUGUUAACAGGCCGUAUAGCUAAACUUUUCUGUGAGGUUCGGAUUGCCUUUAUCAUCCUCUUUCCCCAGUCUUGUUUUGUGAGAGGAAAGUUUGUCUGAAGUUGCUUCUGAGGCUGCUUCUCCUUUGUGCUCUCCUGUGGGAGAUCCUAGUAUAGCACUUAUUUGCACAGAUGGAAUGCAUCGUCCUUAAACGAGCAAGGGGCUGAUGGGUUCAUUUGUUUUGGAGUUCUACCCACAUGUGUUUGGUUUUUUGUGUAUAUGAUUUGGAUUUUAUGUUGUUUUUGCAUGCCCUGGUCGGGAUUCUGGACUGCUUCACUUUAAUAAGUAGAUUUAACAUAUCCAGAGGUAGACAUCGUUCUGAACCCAGGGGCAGGCCGUGGGGAUGCCCGGGCUGCCUGUUUGCUGGCGUUGUUAUCUGCUGAUGAAUGGGAGCCGGUGGCUCUGCGGUGUUACUAUCGCUUGGGAAGCAAUGCCACACUUGUAUUUUGUGCACAUAUUAAUGUGACUUUUAAAGUGAAUUGAAAACCCGGCAUUUUGGGGGAAAAGAAUCAGAGUUAUGAAGUAAUGGGAAAAAGAAAACUCCCCACGGUGAGCUUGCGGUGGCCUGGCAGUGGUGUUUCACUCAGUGCCUGUGAGCGCAGCCCGCUCUGCACGCUGCCGGUCUGUCUCCAGUAUUGCAACUCUCGCUUUGGUUGGCGGUUCUGCUCUCAUUAUUUCCUCUCCAGGCCACGAGUGUUUCCUAUGGCGGUCUUUUUCUUCACCGCAAGCGCUUUUAGAAGUACAGAGGGUAAAAGUGAUUUAGAAGUGUUAUGAGUUAGCAGAUUCAAUUCUGCUGAUUAAAAAGCUAAGCAGCAAGAGCAGUUCUGCCUCGUGACCUUGUGGUGAUAACCAGAGAGCAGUGUUUGCAGGGCACCUCUCCAGCUAAUGAAGUAACCUGGCUGAAAAACAAGGAAGCCAACAAAGGGUGAGGUGAGCACUAACAGGAAAUAAGUGGUAGAUAUUUAAUAUUAAUGAGCUGAAAGCUUGAAGCCAGCUUUACAAAACACAGUGAUACAAAUUGCAACGAGGAUUAGAUUGACUACAAUGCAAAGUUUCAUUGCAUGGCUAUAGUUGUGUUUAAAGAAAGAAAGUCGCAUCCAGUGCUAGCAUAGCUCUGGCACUAAAAAGAAAAAGAACCCCAUGUGACAGCACCUGAAACCAUCCUGAAAGUUCUGCAAAAAAAAAAAAAGAUGCUUUCCUGGUGUGUCCUCCAUCAGUCUCUUCCACCAGCACCGGCUGGGUGUUGGGUUCCUCUCUGUAGACAAGGUUUGUUUGGCCUGGCUCCGCCACCAAAGCUGGCAAAACCUUUGCCUUACUAAGGAAUAAUUUCUUAGUUAAGAAGUUGAGGAUUUUUUGUUGGUAUCUUUUACUCAACCAUCAAAAUAAAGCAUAAUGAACCUAAGCUGUAACUUCUGGAACCAAAUGCAAGCUUUGGGGUGCUUGCUGUGUCAGAUGAUGAGGGUAUGAGAUUGCUUCUAUUUAAGUUGCACACAGAAAUGGUGGCUUUAAGCGUGGGGAAAGACAGUUCUUUGUGGGCCUGACUGUUUAGCCAAGGAACUGAAAAAUGUAUUUGAAACUGUGGAAAUUUGCUCAGUUUUUGAAUUUUUAAGAUAAGUCUGUGAGCUUGCCAGUGGCCAAUAAACAAUAAUCCUUAAUAUUCUAAAUUAAUGUAAUUUAUUUGUAAAUUCUUACUUGUGCAGGCAGACUCAGGUGUAUAAGUGUCUUCAGUGAGAGUCUCUAUAUGGUGAGAUGUGCAGAAUUAGGCUUAUAGCAUCCAGCUGAGUGCUGAAAUGUAUCAGUCAGGCUGUUCAGCAUAGUCAGAUCCCGUGGUGUGUUGUUUUGCUUUAAAUGAAACAAACAGAACCCCAGCAUAGUCCUCUUGACUGCUAACUUUCCAGUUAUGAAGCAGGUAAACUUUAACUCUUCCCAGGCUUCAUCUGGUGGUUGCUGUUUUUUCCCCUGUCAAAGUCAACUGAUACGAUUUUAUCCUUUAACAACUGAUCUGCAUUUCUGUGCUGUGUUAGCAGCCUUUAAGGAGAAAAAGAAGACUUUAAUGCAGCUUUAUACAGAGGGUGCGCUGCAGUAACACGAGGACUCUUUCCUGCUUAACGUGAUUAAAACGUCAGCAGCACCUUCCUGGCAAACCAUGUAUUUGUCAGUCUGGCUCUGGUUUUUGGCUGCUUAUGCACAGUCAUGUUCCAGUUAUUGAACUGACAGAACUUUGUUUCUCUAGCUCACAGUUUCUUUGUGUGAUUGUUUUUGCACUGCUGCUGAUGCUUAUUCAGUCUACCACACGGCCAGCCAGGGAACUUUGAAGGUUUGUUCAGUGCACUAUUUCCUUCCUUAUGGUUUCUGUCAGUGACAAUGUCUGUCAAUGUGUCUAUCUGGGUGAUAUUUCCUUCCCUGGUGCAAGUAACUUUGCUGUUGAUAACCUGUUAUUUGUUAAAAAGUGUAAAGAAUUUCUGGAUCAUGGGUACAUAAACCUGUUUGUCACACAUUUUCUACCCAAAACAUUCACUGCCUGCAAAGGCAUCUAAUAAUAAUUCCAAAGUACAGAAAGCAAUAUUUUCCAGAUAAAUGUUAUAGCUACAACCAUGCACUGUUCUGUAAAAUGACAAAUAUUUAUUAUUUUUUUUAAUGAAGCAGAAACAAACUGUUACUUCUCUGCAAUUAUUUUUUAACUUAGAACCAAAUUUUUCUCUGGCCUGCAAGUACUUAAUCCUAGUCCAACUGCCUGCUGUCUGUUCAUCAAAGAAGGGAAUUCGAGUUUUUCAUUUGCUGAAGUAAUUCUUUGUUUGAGUACCCGGUGAGUUAUUUCUGCCAUAGCUGUUGUGGUUUGCGCUCAAUUACAUCUGUUCAAGUAAGCACCACAUUUUUGAGAAACAAAGUAUGUGAAAAUUAUCCUGUUCAAAUCAGUCUAUAUAGUCACAAAAGAAGAUCAGAGAGGUUUUCAAAUACGUGACUUAUGUGCUUAGAAAAGGUGUACUUGUUAUGCAAGACUAAUACUCUGGGACAGCCAUUCUGGUAUGGGUGAAAGGAAGCAUUAAGAGUAUAAAAAUGGGAGGAGCAGGGAAAAGUAAAAUAAAGGUAAAAAUAACUUAAUUGUCAACAUUCUCCCUUUCUAUUUAGAUUUAUUUUUUUUUAAUUUCUCACUGAAGCUAAGGAAAUAAUACUGCAUCUUGGUCGGGCAGCUCAGGUAUGAGAGGUAAGCGUGCUGGAAGUGUGAAGAAACUUUACAAAGGAUAAUGCAGACUGUUCCAGUGGGCAGCCCCGUUCCAGUCCCUAAGCUGGGAUCUAUGUACACCAGGUUAAUGGCUUCAGAAAGUGGGGUUUGUGUUUUUAUGCCACUUAUUUUUUUGGACUGCUUUUCACCCCCUCACCAGCUCCCCUGGUUUUAAACCAGUAUACAUUUUCUACAUAGUAAGUGUAAAUUGAGGUAAGAGUGUGAAUCUCAGGUUACUGCUGUUUUGAAGUGGACGUUUGGUUCUUAUUUUCAGUGUUGCAGCAACUGGGAGAGUGCCCUUUUGACAGUGUUAUUGUGGGUAAGAGGAAUCCAGUCACCUGCUGUGUGGCUCUUGUUCCCUCCUGUCUGCUUUCCUCGGGUCCUCAUCCAGAAAUUCAGCUUGCACAAAGUCAUCAAACCACAUUUAGGUAUGAGCAAUUGUGGAACACUGCUCGGGGUCACACGCCUUUCUGACACUGCUCCCCUGUGCACGCUGAAGUUAUGUGCAGAAGUACAUAGGAAAGAUGCAUCUAAUGCCACUUGUCUGUGCUCUGAUCUUAAACACCACGUGGCAAAGUGCAGUUUUUAAGGUUUUGUAACUUGGGUGUGUUGCAUUUCUCUAGAAGAGUGGAAGGGUUCUUCCUAUUGCAAUUUUCUUUGAAACUGAGAUGUAAAAUGCAGCACAAGGACCACUUUUCUUAAACCAAAAUGGAUGACGUUGGCAUACCAAAAAUAUAUACAGUAACCAGCAGUCCUGUGCGUUACUGCUUUGACUGUUAUCAACCAGAAUUGCCUUCCUCUGCUGCACAAAGCCUUCUCAGAAUUACAUUAGGAUGGUGUGUGUAACACAGUUCUAAGACAGAGCGUGUUUUUUAUUCAGAGCUAUUAACAGGUAUAGUUUUAGCACUUGCCAUUACAAAAAAAAAAAAAAAACCCACAGAAAAACAGAGGAAUGCAAAAUUAAUACCACCUAAAUCAGUUUAAUGCACACCCAAGGAUGGCAGCUGGUGCCUGAAAGUAUUUUCCACUGAAAGAAGAGAGAAUGUAACCAGGGGGUAGAUGUAAAAAUAAGAAUUGACUUUGGUUCUUAAUCCAGAGUUCCAGUGCUGAAGCUGGCUUUGCUUCUGGCUAAUCUAUGGGUGAUUAAAGCCCACAAGGGCACGUGGUGUGUGUCAUCCUGGCCCCAGGCUUGGUGAGGUGCAGUGUGCAGCUGCCUCAGGGGCUCUGCAUUGCCCCCACCUGCCUCAUCAUUGGCUCAGGAGAGGAACAGUACAGAAUAUCCUGUAACAGUCUGAUGUCACUGCAAGGAGAGAAGUGCCAGGAUGAGUUUGGUUCUGCAGGCCGGGUCUCAUCUCCCCACUGCAGUGCACAUUGAGAUCUUUGUCCAUACCCAACCACUGUCUUGUGUUCUGUCUGGCUCAAGACACAGCAGCUUUAAAAUUAAGCCCUUAUACCAUGUAAGAGUAACUCCAACUGACUUCCCUUGGUGCAUUACAGCUUUCAGUGUUAGGUCUGCUGCUUUUUGGUCGUUCUGUGGGCAUUUUAGCUGGUUUUUGACUGCACGUCUUUCGGUAACUUCCAGGACCCUGGCACUAGAUGGAGCUUUAAUCUACUUGCACUUUUAUUACAUUUAACCACAAGUUCAAAACAGGGAAGAAUAAAUGAAGAUAUCUAUGCCUGCUGUACAUUUACAGUGCGCUCUUCCUUGUUUGUUUGCAGAGUAAUAAAAACCGAUAAAUUAAAAUGUUGCAGCAGAAUCUCCUUGAUUCCAGUAGGUGGUUUAUAGUCACACAUAGUAAGGCACUAUAAUGUAAUCUCAAGCUCUUGGGAGAAGUUGCUAUGAAUUAGAUGUACUGAAAAUGUGCUGCAUAUUUAAGCGAGUCAUUAGGCUGUGCUGGAAAAAAAAGUAAUGCUGUUUUCUGAAUGAAAUCUGUUUACAUAUCAGGACAGGAUGGGGUGACCAAGCCUUCUGUUUCCUGUGCUUAUUCAAAAAUGCAUUUGCAUUUUUUACUCUCUGCUCCCAAGGCUAACUAUUCAGAAUUGUCUGUUAUCAGUCAAUGCAGGGUUUUUUUCUCCAUGUAUAUACCCUUGGAAAUACUGAACAAAUAAAAACAAAAAUAGCUUUUAAACUGUAACAUUCAAUAGUUUUCAUUUAGCGAGCAUGACAUCUCAUGGGCUGGACAGCCUGUAUCAGACAUUUGUCACCAUCUCAGCCUUCCACAGAAGUAAACAGAAGUAGAUGUAGGUUUGUUCUUGGGUGUUUGUGUUCUUAUCACCAGAAGAUGAGUUUGGUCAAAACCAUUGUCCAGACUGAAAUACCAAAGCAUGUAAUCAGAUCCCAUUCACUGCCCCUCUGCUAUUUUGUUAAGUGAUUUAAUGAAGUAAACCAGGAGAUGAACUCUUGAAGAAACCUCAGGGCACGCUGAAUUCAGAUAAAGAAGGUUGGAUAUACACUGCAACACCUUGCUGCCAUCUCCUUCUCCAGAUCUCAUCCUUCAGUAUCUGUCACCUUUUUUCAGCGGGACUGAAGGACUCCAUGUAUACCACAGGAUGAAAAAUCUUCAUAGAAACUGCUGCAGAAAUGCAGUAUUGCCAGAAAUAUGCUUUUGUUCAUAUUGGGAGAUUUCUACCGUACUGUGAAACUGUCAUUAUUUCUUUAUGCUUUCUCUUCCUUUUACAAAUUGCUAGGAAGGUUCCUUUUUCCUUUAAGUUUGGAUUUGUGAUUGUAGCCUGUAAAUUAGAUCUACCUCAGUCCUGCACUGGGGUAACAGUCAGAUAGGCAGCGCUCUGUCCUAAGAGGGGUUCAGCACACAGCAUCUGUUGCAAUGCUGGGCCUCAUUACACCCGGAGACUUGGAAUGUGCUGCGAUGCACCCCGUGCAGCAGUUCUGAGGACUGUGGAAAAAAAUGGAGUUGACUUCACUGAAACCUGGAUUGGUUUCCGAGUCAGUUUCCUGUCUAAUGUGAAUAAAGGAAAUAGUGUUAUAGCUGCAGCAGCUUUUGCCUUGUCUGAAGCUGCUUUGCUGUGCCUUUGUUUUCUUAUCAGUGAAACGAGGGUAGUUUUUAUCAUACCUGGAAUCUUACCAGGGUUAGUGGAUGUAUGAAACAUUAGAGAAGGAGGUACUGCUUGGUGAUUUAAUGUGAUCUGAAAAAUUACUGGUGAUGACAUUUUACCCUUUUACCCCUGUAUUAAAUAGUAAUAUUAGUCAAACUGGAGUUGACCUUUGAGAAAAUAAUCCUGUCUUGAUUCAGUGAAAACAUUGCAUUUUUUGCCCUAAUAACACCAAUAAAACCCUCAUUUUGACUUGUAAUGAAAGCUUAAAACUUGGUUCUUUAAAUAGUAGAAUUAUUUAUCUCAAGAAUCUUGCAGUGCUGAGGCUGUGGCGUUUGAGGUAAGGUUUUGAAAUGUCACACACAAACUUUACAGCUUUAUUUCUAUCAUUCACGACUGCACUGGCACUCAGACACCCUCCAGCCUUCCACUGAAGCGAAAGUUUGUUUUCUAAUGUAAAAACAACAACAGCAAACUUAUUAAAGUUUGACCAUUUUGUUUUAUCUUUAUUAAUGAGAAAAUGAAGGCAUGAGUUGAAAUCUUUUGUCUCUGUCACAGCUGAAUAUGAAGAGGUGAGAUGGCAAUACUUUUGUCACGUUGCUUGCCUGUGGAAGAAACUGAAACACUUCUUGAGUAUGAGAUGCUUAGGUAUGAAAUAGAUAGUAGGUUGCUUUGCAACAUUAGGUCUCAUGCUUCCCAGUAUGUUUAGAACAUCUUUUUUUAGGUAUGUUGAGAUUGUAACUGAGAAACUCAUGCUUGAGUUUAGGCAGCUGGUAGGAAGAAAUGCUGGAGCUUUAGGCCUCUGAGGCAGCUGGACCCUUUUGAGUGCUGCUUUGAGAAAGAAGGCGUUUGCAAGAACAGAGAUUGCUAGAACUCAGCGGUGAGCCUUGUGCUCUUCCCUGUGUAGCAGCUGAUUUGUCUCUGUGUCUUUGCAAGUCUUUGCCAUUUGUGCUUGAGUUAGUUUCCAGAAUAGCUGGCAUGCAACAGUCUGCCAGGAAUAUGGAAAGCCUGGUGUUGUGGAUAACUCCCAACCUGACCUUUUGUUCCAAGCCAGUUAUGAAGAGCUAGGAAAAGUCACAUCAUCAAAGCUUUCUUGGAUUAACAGAAGAAUGCAGCUGCCUUUAACAGCUUCCUGGCCAAAGGAGGUGUGUUCAGUCAGCACAGUAAAUUACAGGACUGGUGGGAUUUCAGCUGUCUUCACGUUAUAUUUUUCCCUUUGGGAUUUUGUGGCUUGGGUCAUUUGGAGGAGGGCAGUUGGUGAGAUUUGCUCUGCUGGCUCCUCAAGGCUUCCUUGUUGCCACUUGCUGCUACACGCUGUGACUGCCUUUGCCUUCUCCCAAGCAAAUGUAACAACAGAUUCAGGGCAAAGGCACAGGAGGGCAGCAGCUCUUUUAUCCUUUAAAGGCUGUUUGUAAAGAUAAAGGGCUUGAUACUGGCUUACCCAGUAAGCCUUACCUUGCCUGAGCAGGUGUUUUUUUUGUUUGUUUGUUGGUUGGUUUUUUUGUUGUUGUUUUGUUUUUUUUUCCAGUGGUAUCGAAACCUAUUUAAAUAAUCAUAGCAUUUUCCCCAUAUUUCUGUUACAUUCCCUUUUUUCACAGACCGCAAAAAAGAUUCAUCUGCCUGCUAGUGCAAUCAGUUCCUAAUACAACUGAGCAUCUGAGUCUUGCAUAGGAAUGCUGAUGCUGCAUAGUUGUGUUUCCAUCUGGAAGAGCUGUUGCUAUGAUUACCUUAACUGUCGGAUAUUGGCUUUUGGUUCUUGUUGAAAAAAAAGAAAAUAGUGAUUCAUGGAGGAGAAUUAUGCAGCUUUAGUACCAAAGUGGUGUUUAUCCUAAUGGAACAGUGCAGGCUGUGUUGGGCAAAGGUGUUUCAGAGUGCUGAGAUACUUCAGUACCAGUACUACGCCCAUCCUUGUUACAGCGAAGAUCCUUUGUCCUCUGUGUGUUAACGUGGAGCUUUCAGCUCUGAUAACAGCACUUUAACACUUGCUUUGGCAGCUAAUCUAGCUAAGGGAGCAGUUGUUUUAUUUGUUUCUUGGGCACCGGUGCAGUGCUCCUGCUAAACCUUUACCACUUUGCCAUGGUAAUAAAAAAAAAAAGUAUUUGAUUUCCUUAAAAAGAAAACCAAAAUAACCAACCAUAAACCUUGCUUUUUGUGGUACACCCCUCACAAACGUCCUGGACUCUGUUCAGUUCUUUCUACUGAAUAAUUUCAGUGUGAUGUCCCUGUAAGUUGUGGUCUAAAACAGAUUCAGCCCAAACCUUUUGCCUGUUAGUAAAGGAAUGAGCUAUAGACUCUAGAUAUUUUCUUCUUGAAAUGAAUGCAUGUAUGCAAAGAAUGUUCAGUUAAUUACUCCAGGCUUCUUGUUAUUUGGAGCCACUGCUUGUGAAGGAAAUGAAACUGCUAAUUUUGAGAAAGUGCAAGCAAUUCCUUGUGAUGUUUUUGUUUCCCCUUUUAGGGCCCAGUUGAGCACUUCUUGUGGCUCUCUCAUUGUGGGGAAGCUCUCACUGAUUACUUCGGGGCUCUGGUGUGAGGAGUCAGGUGGGCCCCAUGGCAGAGCAGCCUUGGAGGGGAGCUGAGCUGUGCUUCUGGUAUUAUGCAUGGCCAGGCCUUCUCCUUGGUGCAGAGCUGGUUGUGGCUGAGGAGGGUGCCUGCACCCAUGGCAUGCAGCGCUCUUGCCUUCUGCAAAGUGGGUCACUGGUGUUUUUAGGUGAGUGCUGUGAGCUGGCAUCAUCUCAGAUCUGCUUCAGCACAGCUGCCAGCUGAUGACAGCCUUUCUGCUUUCUGUGGAGCCCGGCUAGUCCCGACAGGACUGGCACAUAGCUUCCCUGGCCAGGCCGUGGGGCUUCUUCCCUCCUGCUAGCCCUGCUACUGCUCCCCAGCUAUUCAACAGAACUUCAACACUGCAGAGUGCUCCUCAUCCUCUGACACCCCUGGCAUGUACACAGAGAGCUGACUCACAGCUGCCAGCCUCCCCUCGCUGUGCGGCCUGCUUCUCCCCAUGCCAGGUGCACCAGGGUGCUGGUGUCUGGGCACUGCUGUGGCCCACAGCAAUGCUGCAGAGCGGCCAACCCGCCUGGCUCGCACCCCAUGCAGACUCGGCAGGAGAUGUGUUUCUCAGUGCUGCUCAAGUGCUUGCAGUGAGGGCUCUGCCAUGCUCUGGAGCCAGCACCACGCUCAUCCCCAAGCCAACCACAACAGUCGUGGUUUCGCUCCCGGCACUGAAGCAAUCUGUGAAGAGCGCGGAGCUGGGCUUGGGCUGAACCCUGUUGGGGGGAGGCGUGGACCAGACGCUGGCACAGAGGAAUGGCCUCUAGGACUGCUGGUUUCUAUUCUUGGCCUGGGGAAGAGUGAAGGUGCUCAUCCGAGCAGGGAUCUGGGAGCCUCAUGCUCUGCAAGGGCUAUUGUCCAGGAUAGGGCUCAGCAGUGCCCAGCAGCUGUGUCCACUCCCUCCUCCCAGACGGGUGCAGGCAGAGCCGGGGCAUGUGGCCCCAGCGAGACAUGGCUGGAGGUUGUGCCCUUGGAACACAGCAGUUCUCUUUUAGAUAAGAAACAAAGAAACAUCCAAUGAUGGAAACGGUUGCCUCUCUGUAAAUAGCAAGCCGAGUGACCUAGUUCAGCUCAGCACAGCUCCUUGGAGCUUCCCGCAGCAGCACCGUGCUGACGCUGAAUCAUCACUUCCAGAGCGGCAGAGAUUGGAGUGUGCAGGCCCUGAGGAUUUCACUGUUUCUUUAUUAAUUUUAAAUUGAUUAAAAUGAAUUUUUAAAAUACUAAGAGAGACUUGCCUAAAGAAAAAAAAAAAAAAAGAAAUGAAGUCGGUCUGUGGGAGUUUGUUGUGUGCUUAAAACUGUGGCUCACACAGCUGUGAGCACCCAGUGCAGCAUGGAGGAGUCAGGUGUCAGCUGCUCUGUCCUGGCAGAUCAGCAAAGUCAAGAUCAAUCCAUCAGCAUUGCAAAGAAGAGGGAAUUAUAAGCUCUGCUGGUCUGUAUUCAGUGCAAAGCUACCAGUGUCCUCAUCCAUGGUGUGGUUCUGUGGGUUGCUGCUCUCAGCUACAAUGCUUUAACCAGAAGUCAGGAGCCAGGGGAAUGCAGUUCUGCUGGAGCCAAACAUAUGACCUCUUUUCCCCAGCAUCACACAGUGCCUGAAGGCUUUCCUUUAGAACACCCUGGGUUCUCUACGGGGUUUCUGUGCAGCAGAGCAGGCUGGCAGGCCCUUCACUCAGACUCCAAGCAGGGCUGUGAUGAGUGUAGGCAGCAACAGAUGGGAAGAAGAUCCUUUUCCUACUGUCAGAGGGCAGCUACAAGUGAUCUUUUCCCAUGGGCCAAUCUCAUUUGCUGUUCAUACCCCAUUCCAUCAUGGAAUUCUGCUGAACACAGUAAAGGAGAACAUUCCCGUUCCUUAUAAUUUCCAUCUGUUCCUGUACAACAGCAGAAGAUGAUGCCCUGUAUGCAGAGUUUUUCCGGAGCUCCUGCUGCUCCCUGCCUGUGCCCCCUGUGGCCCACUGACGCUCAUGGCAGCAGCAAGGUGCUUCUAUGCCAUGGUGCGCUCUGGAGAUGGACUGCACAGAAACAGGUCAGAGCCCUCUCCCCAUGGGUUACCAUCCCCACAGUGGCCCUGGGAGCUCCAUCUCUCAUGAUCCCACUGGGGUGCGGGAGGUGGGCAGUGCAGUGGUGCUGCAUGUGAGGAAUUGGAGCAAGAUCUGCCCUAUCUCCUCAGCAGGGAUUGCUCUGUUCAGAUGAAGGCCAGGGCUGGCUCUAAACACAUCAACAGCAGUGAGCAGAUAAACCUUUUUGUUUUUAAAUAAAUAAUAGAAAGAUAAACAAACAAAUCCAAGUGUGUGGAAGCUCUGUGGUACCUCAGAGAAGACCUGGCAGGGAGCUGCAAGCCGUGAUGGAGCAGGAUACAGAGGAUUCCCGGAGAGAUUGAAGCAGCAGGUUUUGUCAGACAGUCCUAUGUCUACCUAGAAAAGAGAACUUGAUAUUUCAUUAAAAUUAAUGAGUAAAAAUAUAAGAAGCCUGUUAAAAAUAAUCUGACACUUUCUACUGAUGGAAGCAAUGGAGCAAGCUGUGUUCUAGAAGUUGCUUGGAAGCAUCUUUGGUCUGCUUUAAAAGUCCACAUAAAAAAUGCAGUAGCAUUACUCGUGUCCUGCUCACCUCUCUGUGUCUGCACAUCUCCAGGCCUCAGAAGCUGAACUGCUCUAAAUUCACACGCUGGUGUAGAACUUAUUUUUCCCAGCUCUUUGUCCCACACUCAACUCUCAGCCCCGCCUGCAGCGCAAAGCAGGCACUGCUGUGGAGGUCUGCUGAUGAGAGAUGGGGGGACAGCCCACCUCUGCCCGCUGUUAGCAGGUGUGUGGGCCCUGAUGUCCCUCAGGCAGCAGCAGCGCUUCCUGCAGCUGCGUCACCACCUCUCACGGUGCUCUGCUUGGCUUCACCUGUGAGGCCGAUGAAAGAUGGCUGAGGUCUGUGUGGAGUACGGAUUGUAGUUUAAUCUGUGAUCAGAUCAUGGGUAAUUCAGAAUGUGUUGUAAUGUUUUGUGCCUGUCCAAAGUGCUGCUCAAAGUAAUAUACGAUACUUACGAAUUCUAUCCUGUGUUUAAGCAGACUCAGAUUUGGUGUUUGAGCUAAAUCAGGACGUUAUCAGGUAGGAUAAGAAGAAUACAGGAUUACAUCGUGUUUGUGCUUCGUUCAUUCUGUCAGUUGCACUUUUAGUUGUAAUUAUUUAUGACGAAUCAUUAUGUACUGGUUAAUUUACAGCAGCGUGUUUCUGUACAGUAAUGAAAUCAGUGCGUGGGACUGCAGCACUGCUGUUGCUCUUUCCUAAGUAACGCACACAUUAGUUAUGAGCAGAUGAGAACAGCAUUGGAACGUGUAGGCUCAGUUGGAAGGUGAUGGUGUCCGAGAGUCAUUUGCUCCUUGUGUAGUUCAAAGUAGAGUCAUCGAGGAUCCUAAAGGAGCACCCAAGGUGAACUCGAUGUGAGUGUUUAUGAAAGGUAAGCUCUGGCAACGUGGAGAUCUUUUAGUUACUGUAGGCCCAGGCCUUAACCAGUAGACAUCAAAGAGCAUGUUUCAAUGCUUUAAAGCAUAUAUUCUUAUGAAAAAUAUCUUAUUCCUAUUUCUUUCCAGUUGAAAGACGCUUAGCAAGGCUGCCUUCUGUGUCCUGUGUGAGUUGCUGCUGUUAGUGAUGAGUGCAGGUGUAAAGGUCCAAGAAAUGUUGGCACUCUGAGCCUGAAAUAUGACUUUGACAAAACAAAAUGCUGUCAGAUUCUCACAGCAAACAGACAUGGAAAUAAAGAAAAUAUUUUUUUCACAUUUUUAAAGUUUUAUCACUCAGCAGUGCUAUUUGUAGCAGUAGUAGACAUAACAUUUGCAGAAAGAAAUAUGACAGAUCUAUUCAGCUGGCAGUACUGAGCUCCUCUGCACUGAUACUGCAUCUUGCCAACAAUCCCCGUCCUGUAGUGAGAGUUGUAUCUCACUACCUAAGAAGAAAACUGUCUGUCUUCAUUAUGUACUUCCAUUUUUUCAUGAGCUAGUGAUAAGAUGUGCCUAGCUAUGCCAGGAAUUAAAGUAAUCACGUGCCCAUUCUUGUUUGGUGAAAAUGCUGCCCCACAUUCUGAGAGCAAAAACUUUUUAGUCUCUGUAUUGUCACAGGUUCUGCUACAUCAAGCUGAUAGUUGUUAAUCAUUAAAAUAGAGCAAAACAAAGCAAACACCCAUAAGAACAUUCUUCCUCACAAGUACCUUACUUUACUCCCUAUUUUGCUUUUUUUAGCUCCGGGCUAAUGGUACUGCUUCUGAAACAAGAAUGAUUCAUCCCCCGCUGGCUACACUAGCAGCCUGCUUCCUAGGGUCUGGUUUUUCAGUCUAUUCACCCUCUUUCUUGCAGUGCUUUGCUAUGAGAAAUGUACAGUCAGUGCUUGCAUGCAGUCCUUGCAAGAUCUGGUGAAAGCAGCAACCGAUAGGAUGAAUAGGACCUACGGGCUUUGCAGUCUGCAUUAAGCAUAUGUGAAUAGAUCAGAUGGAGUAACUGAGCUGAUGUUUUCUCUCCUUGAGGCUUUUCUGGAGGCAGUGGUGCUUGCCCUGCUGGCUGCCUGCCACUUGGUGCUGUUGGGCACUGUGCUGGGUGCUGUGCUAGGUGUAGUGCUGGGUGCUAUGCUGGGUGCAGGUGGAUGACAUGGCCAUGUGGAGCAGAAGCUCAGCAGCUGCUCAUUAUCAGCCACUGUCAGUCCGUGAGGUGCCAGCUACUGCCCUGUGUCACAGAAAGGCUGCUACCAUGCAGGAGUCCACAGAGGAGCAGUUUGCCAGAAUACAGCCUCCAUCUGAGAGACCGAGGUGCAGCACUGUGCUAGGAAAUCACACCUGGCCUGUGUUGGUAAAACCACCUGUGCACAAGAGCCUGGUCACUGUGGCUCUUUGGAACACAGUGCCGUGCUGCCACUCACUCUGCAGUGCAGAGCUUAGUGCCUCUGUGCUGGUACAAGGGACCUAGUGAGACAGCCAGCACUGACAGCAUGAGUGGAAUGUUAAUUUACCAUAGUGUGGUUCUGUCUGUCCUCUUAGCAGGAGAAAACACUGCAAUAGUGCUACAAGCAAAUCAUUGUACACAAAUUUAAGCAGGACUUUGUCAGCCCGUGUUGGCAGAUGAGGAAUCCUUUAGUAGCAGUUGUUUCCACCUUUCUUUUUAGAGUGUGUAUAUAUACAAACACACUGCAGAAAGGCUGAAAAACACUUAAGGAUUUGCUCAGGAGAUUAUCUUCUUCCUUUUUACUCCUAUUAAUCAUCUAGGCACUAAUUGAGAAAGAAAGCUGGGCAAUCAGGAAAGCAGGGAAACCCCACCAAGAGCAAUGGCUGCCCACAGGUCACUUGCAAAUGCUGCACACACCUGAGGUCAGCUGAUACAAAGCUGAGUUUAUAAAGGCUGAUGGGAAAUGCUGGGAUGGGGGGGGGGUGCUGUUCCUGGCUAAAAGCAGUGUAUCCAGAAGGAGGGAACCUCCCACGACAGUCUCUUGGCCCAUUAUGCUCUUCUAAUUUACAUGCUUUUCAUUCAGCAUCCAAAACGUUGGAUAGAUUUUAAAAUACAUUUAUUUUUAUUUUUUCAGUAGCUCUUUAUUAUUAAAGUCUCCAGAAAUGCUUUGUUUCUGUCUCUGAACACAAAGAGAAGUGAUAAAAGAUACAGAAAAGCUUACCAGGGUUAUUUUGAGCUAAAUGACUUACAGCUGCGUCAGUGUUUGAUUAGAGAACAGCUUCUGUCUGUGAGCAGUUGCACCACGCGCUUCAGGUUGCUGCCAGAGUGCUUCCCUCCCUGCGGAGUUAUCCCUGGGGCUGAGAGUUGCUGUUCCUUAUUGAGGGAAGGCAGAAGCUGAUGUAGCAGAGAAUGGUUGUAGAGGUCCCCCUGGAUGAGAGUGCAGGAGGAGCUGGAUGGAGGUGGCUGGGGAGGCUUUUGGAGGGAGUUUUUGCUGCUGGUGGGAGUGAGGUGGUGAGUUGUGUUGUGCAGGAUUGUUGGGACAGCUGCUUCCUUGCUAUGUCUGCUCCUCUCCACAUUGCCCUGUGUCUGUAGCUCACACCCCUGUGCACGUGGUGCUGGGGCUGCUGGUCUGUCACAGGGAGCAAAGUCACGGCAAUAGCUGCCCUGUAUAGCCCCGUGCUCCAGGGCUGGCCUUCCUCCAGCACUGACAGUGCAAAGCUUGUAUAGCUUUAGAGAACUCUUUGUAGGUUUGAUUAUUUCAUGGCUUUCUGAAGUUGCUGGAUCUCCAACUUUUCCUUAAGAGACGUUAACAACAAGAUUACUUUAAGUCAAGUUAAAAUACAUUUGUUACUUAUCCUGCAGUUUUAAUCCUGUCAUACCUCUAAUUUUAACGCAGGCUGAGUCAUUUUCAUCCUACGGCUUUAAAAUCAGCCUUCUUGGGCUGUGGAGCAUGGUCUUGUUCUUGCAUGUUUGGGAAGCGGAACAAUUUCUUUCUGUCUCUUAGUCAGAUCUGUCCUGCUGAACUGCUGUCACUUCGUGCUCUCGGAUAUAAAAAUAACGCAUAGCUGGGGUGAUUUGCAGAGUUAGCGUUAUUAUGGUAAGCAAAAUGUGAAAAAUGAGGGAUGCCAGCUUACACUGUGCAGACUGAUUUAUAACAAAUCGAAUUAUAAAAAGAGAAGGGAAAAUAUUAGUGCCAGUGAAAUAUUUAACCUUGUUUGGCACGAUUCCUUGGGGAGCAGUUUGCGUAACUCCUGCACUGCAUGCAAUACAAUAUAUAUUUUCUCUGUUGUGGGUAUCUGUACCAUCUCGUUCCCCCCCCGACUUGUUGAGCCCUGCCAUGAGGCUGCAGUUGUUUCUGUGUUUGGGUAUGGAGUGCUGCCUUAUCACCCAUUUCCUUUUUUUUUUUUUUUUUUUUUGGAAGCUUUCCAAAGGUGUCACUUUGAGGCAGAUUCCUCGCAUGGAAAGUACAGGUGGAGCAGUUGCAGUUUAUCACUGUCAAAGUGCUGGAGACAGUCAUUGUGAGAAGCUUUGACAGUAGGUCGAGUUGUUCUAAAUGCUGUGACUGUAAGCUCAUACAGAGGGAGACAGUGGAGAAUACAAGGGGAAUCUGCAGUACAUGCGUAACAUGUAUAAAAUAGUGCACUUCUACUUCCUUGCUUUAGGAAUAAUGUAGCUAAAUUAGAAAUAUACUGAAAAUAGAACAAAUCCAGGGCUGCACAGCUAAGCAACCUUGAUCUGCUGGUAUACAAAACCUGUUUUUGAAUCUGGGCUGAUGUUAUUUUGCAUUCACAGGGUGACUUCUUGUCACAAAAAUGAAAUGCAAAGCAGUAAGUGAUGCUUAUUUUUGCUUUGAAUUCACUUGAACCCAUACCUUAGCGACAGCCUGGGUUGUGACUGCAAAGAACGUACACUCAUCUCACUAAACCACACAGAACUGCUUCACCACUCUGUGUACAUAAAGAGACAAGUGCUGAUUGUCCACCUCCAAGCACAGCGGGUGCUCCUCUGCUUUGCUGGUGGUGCUGUGCUGGGAGGCAGUGAAACAUGGCCCCGGGUGCAGCUGUGUGUCUGCAAUGACCCUUCGAGGCUGGCACAAGCUAAGCAUGUAUUUUGGCCUGUAACAUGAAGUAAAACAUGAUGAGAAUUUCCUUUAGUUGUAUUAUCACACAAGCACUGAUGCUGACUUUAAUGCACACGUUGGUUUGCACAACCAUGCAACUUUUAAUUCAUUAAGCUGAUCUUGGUGAGGUUCUGAGGUAGUCUUUGCAUGUAAAGACAGGCUCCUAAUUGUUAGCCACGUUAGUGGGAAGAACCUAUCUUCUUUUAAAUGGAGAAAGAUAACUUGGUUUUAGUUAGCUUCACCUGUGUGUUUUCAGUCUCCGGGUAGUUUCAAACCCGUUUUCCUGGUCUGCUAGAUGAAGGUAAAGCAUCUGUCACAGUUUGGCCUGGUUCUGUGACAAAGGGGUGAAGGGUCCCACACCCCAGGGGACAAAAAAAUUAUAAAACCCUGACAGCAUCUUACAGUGGCAGAGAAAUCCAAUCUGUUAUUUGCUAACAAGCUGGUUUGGUUGGAAAAAAUGCUGGUAAUAUUAUAUAUAAAUCUAUGCAUUUCAUACUUAUGAUGGCAUAAAAGCAGCAGCCACAACAAAGACAACGGUAACAGACUUGUGUUGCUUCUUACAGGAAGUUAUACCAGGAGGAAAACUGUAGUAUAAAGGGAAAUCAGAUCCUCUCUUUGCAGCUUCUUAUGCACUAUCUGUUGCCCAGAACCUUGGUAUAAAUAGAAAGCGUACUUCAGGUAUUCACAACAUGAGGAGCCUUAUCUUGCACCUGUGACACAUCAGCUCUAGCUGCUUCUUUCUUUUAGGCUGGUUGGUUUUUACUGCGCUGCCUUGCUGCUGCAGUGCUUUUUUCUCAAGCUUGCUGCUGCUGGGAAGCUCCCAUUGUGCUGCGCUGACCCAGAGGGAGCUGCAGUUCCAUCGGGACUGUGAGCUCUCCAUAUGCCUGCACAGACGCUACUCACCCACCUCAGUCUCCUUCUUGCAACUUAGGUUGUGCUUAAAACUUCCCCUGACUUUCCAAGCUUUCAGUUGGCUGUUUCCCUAACGCUCAAGCUGCCAGCAAGACUGAGUGACGAUCUUCAGUCACUCUUUGUGUUACUGCAGGAUCUCUAGCUAGAGGCUGGACUUGUACCAGACACUGGGCAAAUGAAAAGCAGGAGGCAGGAGACAAAUGCAAGCAGGUGUGGGAGAAGAUGUUUGUGCACCAUCUGUUUGCUUGCUGACUGAGAACUAGGCUGGGAUGAUCUGUUUCCCCAUGCAAUAAUCAUCAUCUGGACUUUGUCAUUUCUAAGCAGGCGUCAGGACUGUGUCUCAUUCCCAGCCCCCUAAAAACAACCUCCUACAAAAGCCAGCUUUCUGUGUGUAGCCACAGGUAUAUUUGGUGCUUUUUAAAAACCUUUCACAAGUGGAUCUCCAACCAACUAGACAGACACAAGCUUGCAUGCUAAAUUAAUUUCUUCCCCCAGUGACUGCUGCCCUAUUGCACCCUGCCCUGUGCAUGGAGCUUUCCAGCUCUCUUAUAGAAUAGGAGGUGACAGCCCACAUAGCAGUGCUGACUAAUGUUGCUUGUCAGGUUCCUUCUAAGGAACAAGGUGAAGCUGAAUGUUUGUAAGAUACUCAUGAGGAGAUGCUAGUCUGAAUUUCUCAAUUGUUUUACAGAGAAAAAAAAAAAAAAGGUGUCUUCAGAAACACCAAUUCAUGUAUUGAAUAUCCAUUUAUUAAAGUAAAUGUACACUAAAAUAAAUGAACAUUUUAGGAAAACAUCCGAGUGAGCAGUGGUGGAAUGUAUGAACGCUGUGUCAGUGCUGGUGUCAGGUAGGCUGUUCCUUUGCAGAUUUGACUUUCAGAUAAUUAAACUGUUCUCGGUUUUGUUCUUUUUUUUUUCCUGAUGGUGUAUUCCAGAGUUUGAAGGAGUUCAUAACUUGCAAUACUGUGAAAACGCAAGAAUCAGCUGGAGUGAGGCUGGUGUUUAGCAAGGCAACAAUCUUCUGUUCUCAGGCUGUACUGGGGAUAUUUUUAGGAUAUUGGAUUUCUGCUUAAAUGUGCAGUAUGUACAUUUAUACUAACAAGUUAAAUUCAUCAGAGUCUUGACAUCAGAUUUCCUUUCUUCCCUGUCUCUUCCAUUGAGCUUUCUUUGCAAUUACAAAGCCUUCCUACAACAUAAAGUCUUUUCUCAUGGGAUCACAGAAAAAAUGUUGACAUUUUCUCCUGUCUAGGACUGGUGUACUCUGUGUGUGCUACAGGACAUAGAGAAGCUAGUUUGCUGGCAGGAAUAAACUUGGAGGCUUUUUUCUCCCCAGUUACCCAAUUUAAUGGAGGCUUUUCUUUCCCGUCACUCUAAGGAGCGCUGUCAUCUUGGUUUCUGGUCUGAUGAUGAUAAGACACGAUGAUUACGCCCUCUGGCUCCUGCAGCUCUCCAUCUGUCUUUGUGCACCUUCCUUCUUUGAGAACAUUUGUCCAAAGAUCCUUCUUCCUGCCUGCUGUGUCCUCCUUGCCGUGGUGGUGACUUCACUCACUGAAGGCACAAAUGCUGAAGCUGCCUAUUUUGUGCUUGGAAAGUGCUGAUCCAAGCAGUAGAAUAUUCAGAUUCUCUGAAGCAAAAUUGAUAACACCUAGGCCAUUCCCAAUGGCUCUUCACGUGUUUUCCUUUUUAAGUUUGCUGCUAAGAUUCCAUGGGCUAUUCCAGCACUUAAAUACUCCUACCUGUGGAACAUAAAUAUGUGCCAUUCUUUCCCUACAGCUAGCCUGUUACUGCUUCAUCUGUCUUGGUCAGUACACGUAGAGAUCUGUCUGCUUCAAAGGGAUCCAUUAUGCCUACCUCCAGCUUUCCCUUUCUAGACUAAGCAAAUCACAUUCUUCUCAUUACUCACAAUUAAAGGAUAGCUGAGGUUGGAAGGGACCUCUGCAGGUCACCUAGUGAAUUCUUCAAAGUGGGGCAAUGAGAGCAAGUUAGGCAGGACACUGUCGGUCGCUGCUGAAUAUCUCCUGAGCAUGAAGAUUACUCGGCGUCCCUGCGUAACCUGUCCUGGUGUCUGAUCAGCCCCACAGCAAAAAGAUUUUCCUCUUAUACUUCAACAGAUUUACUCGUGCUUCAGUACGUGCCCAUUGCAUGUUGCCCUGUCACUGGACACCAUGGAGAAGAGCUCUGUUCUCUUCCCCCAUCAGUAUUCGUACAUUGAUAAAAUACAUAAUACUGUUGGAUUUGGAGAUCAUAGCAGUAAAAACUGCUGUUUUGUUCCACAGCAAGAGAAAUGUACACAACUGCUGUACUGUGGGAUGUUUUCCUUUUAAUGGAAUGCUCUGCGAGUCAUUUCAGUCUCUGUAUCAGGUUCUACAUAAAAAGCCUUUUCAUCUGCGAAAUGACAUGUCAGGAACGGC
This 27726-nucleotide long non-coding RNA is filed under the name Gallus gallus (chicken). Lineage: Eukaryota; Metazoa; Chordata; Aves; Galliformes; Phasianidae. The record is from RNAcentral.